RNAcentral lists this ribosomal RNA (301 nucleotides) under uncultured bacterium. RNAcentral describes it as "partial 16S ribosomal RNA". It matches the Rfam family "Bacterial small subunit ribosomal RNA", at positions 509 to 807 of the family's 1533-position model. The record is from RNAcentral.
CAGUCGCCACGGUAAUACGGAGGGGGCUAGCGUUGUUCGGAAUUACUGGGCGUAAAGCGCACGUAGGCGGCUUUGUAAGUUAGAGGUGAAAGCCCGGGGCUCAACCCCGGAAUUGCCUUUAAGACUGCAUCGCUUGAACCCAGGAGAGGUGAGUGGAAUUCCGAGUGUAGAGGUGAAAUUCGUAGAUAUUCGGAAGAACACCAGUGGCGAAGGCGGCUCACUGGACUGGUAUUGACGCUGAGGUGCGAAAGCGUGGGGAGCAAACAGGAUUAGAUACCCGCGUAGUCCCUGUCUCUUAUAC